GGCGGCCCCCGGCCCGGCCCGGGCCACCUCCCCUCAGCAGCAGCAGCACCUCCCCUCACGGGAGGGGGCGGGGAGCGAGGCAGGGCCGCGACGGCCGCCCCUUCUUCCCCACCGCCCCGUCACCAAGGUGUUGUGGGGUGACGGUUGGCGGGGGAAUCCGCUGCCGCGCCGGUGGGGAGGCGCUUUCCCGCCCGGUUCGUGACGGGGGGGGAGGGCCGGCCAGGCACCUGGGGCUGCAGCUGAGAGCCUGGGCGGUGGGGAAAGCGGGCGACUGAUCGGAGGACUCCCCCCGCUCUCUGUGGUAAAUCAAGCCCGGGGUGUGGGCCCGCGGCUGCCAGGCCCCACGGAAGGAGGAGCCGGGCGCCUCCGCGUCCGCAUAGUCCGGGUGCCCAGAGCCUGCAGCGGCCCGGCCAAGGAAAUGCUCCUCAGGCGGAGCGGGCUUGUGUGGGGCGAGAGAGCCUCUCCCGGCGGGUUACACGGGCCUGCCCCGGGCUGUACGGCGUGAAGGGCGCAGCGUCUCGGUGGGAAGGGGCGAGGCCGGGACGCGGCGGAGCGGCGGCGUUUCCCGCCUCUGGGCGGUGGUCAGACGCCGUCGUGGUGGUGGGUGCGGGAAACAGCAUAUCCUGGUUUUCUUCAUCUUGAAGCUGUUGGGUAAAGGAAGAAGCAAAGGGCAAUAUGCGGAACAGCAAAAGACAAAAUUCAGUUGGAGAAACUGGACAUACCGUGCCAUCCCCCUACCCCCCAGGAAAAGGAGCAUAAGGAUUGCACGACUGAUAUGAGCUGAGAGACUGAUCUAAGGGCUUGUUACCCAGCUGACAUUUUCAGAACAUGGCCUCGUACAAGGAAAAACUUACAGCUCGUAGGAACUGAAGAAUUUCAAUGCUGAUUCAGACCCACCGCCUACCAGCUUCAGGACCCUACCUAGAGACCAGUAGAUUAUUCAGCAGUGAAAAGUGGAAUGAAGAGAAGCCUAGAGAAAAGCCCCCAAAUAUACUGUGGGAAGUAAAAAGAAAAAAAAGAAGGAAGGGGAAGGAGAAGAGGAGCAGCAUAGGGCAGAACCAGCACUGUUUCCAGCAAUGAUCAUACUUUCUCAUUGGAUGAAGCAAGAGGUGUUUAUCAAGUAAAUAAAGAUAUAAAAAAAUUAAUAUAUUAAAGGCAUUUAUGAUUAUUAAUUUUAUUCUCAUCACACGUUCCCAGGAUACAGCUGCAAUAGAAUAUGUUUCGUCUACUUUUAAGAAC
Long non-coding RNA from Grus americana (Whooping crane), 1239 nucleotides. RefSeq lists it as uncharacterized. The transcript has 5 exons. The record is from RefSeq and is a predicted model, not a curated record. NCBI's taxonomy places the organism in Eukaryota, Metazoa, Chordata, Aves, Gruiformes, Gruidae.